AUACGGAUUUGGGAAUCGCAGAAAUUAAACUUGCGGCAAUCCGUCCACACCGCCUAUUAACGUGGAACUAAAGUAGGCAUCAUUUUAUUUUGCU
RNAcentral lists this non-coding RNA (94 nucleotides) under Allorhizobium ampelinum S4. Lineage: Bacteria; Pseudomonadati; Pseudomonadota; Alphaproteobacteria; Hyphomicrobiales; Rhizobiaceae. The record is from RNAcentral.